Nomascus leucogenys (northern white-cheeked gibbon) is the source of this 104-nucleotide small nuclear RNA. The record is from Ensembl. NCBI's taxonomy places the organism in Eukaryota, Metazoa, Chordata, Mammalia, Primates, Hylobatidae.
GAGCUCACUUCGGCAGCACAUAUACUAAAAUUGGAACGAUACAGAGAUUAGCAUGGCCGCUGUGCACGGAUGACACAAAAAUUCGUGAAACUUUCCGUAUUUUU